UUUAUAAAAAUGUCAUGUUUCUAAGAUUAAUAAUGACCAACAGUCCUAGAUUUUCCAGUAUAACGUGUGCUGAUCAGCCAUUAAUCGAUUCUCUUUCAGGAGCUUUUAACAUCUUUUCCAUCUGAAUUGUAGGAAUGGAUUUUCAGAGGGAAGUGUGGCUAGUGUUGUUGAAGACAGGUGAGCAAUUACGCAGAACAUAGGCGUGCAUCUUCUGCGUCACUCCGGUGACCCGAAAGCCCGCAAAACCCACGGCAGCGAUCACUAACGGACCCUAUUAACCAGCCAUCACGCACCUGCAGCCGGGCAUGCUAGAGAUAAUUAGACCAUUCUGCAUACUGUGACAACUUCUGCUGAAACUCAUCCCUAAAACCUGCUCAUUAUAUACGCCGGCCAUCCUUUGGGUACAGCAAAGCGCUGGUCUAAUUGUCACAUCAAUUUACACCGUUUUUAAGGUUACGUCAGAGCAUCUGCUGUAUAAUGUGCAAAAGAUGAGGAGAUUCAUCAGUCUUGUGAAAUCGGCUGCACUGCUAAAUAAGUCUGGAAUGGAUGGAUGUGAACGAAAGUAAAGUGAUUCGCUCAGGGGGAUUAUUUUAGGAGGCCGCAGCCAAGCCAAAAAUCUCAUGCCAUGUUUUGUCUUUGGUUUGUAAACACACUUUUGCUGUUGUCUGCUGAUGCCCUCGCUCAUGUUGGAUUUGAAUAAUUGAUGAAUCUUAAAGUGAUUGUAUGGCAACUGGGGUGCUGAUAAAGGAUCGGCGAGAGGAAGGGACCUUUGUGCAUUUCCUGUGUCUCAGGGGGCUGCGCUGAGAUUCGCUGCUUACUCAGUAGUGAAACCUUCAUAUCCAAGUGUUUUGUGCUGACAAAGGGCAAAUGGGAUUCUGUUUUACAGCAAACGAUGCAAGAUUGCACUAUUGCGCUUCAAAAGAGCGCCAGGCAUGAGGGGAAAAAAACAAACGGCACUUAAAUCUCACGUCUGAGGAGGAAACUGGUGGUCUGGUUGGUCAGAAGAACAUCCAUAAAUAUCAAUGAAGAUCCUCCUUGUUUUCCUCAGGCUGAGAUGGAUGGUGAGCACAGCUCAAACAGACUGAUUUAUGGGGGUCCGUUUCGCCUGCAGGCCCCCUGAGGACCCCGCUCUCCGCUGGUUGCGGUCGAGGGCCUGUCUUCCCCACCCUGAAGACUCGAAGGCUCUUCCGUGACUGCGCUGAUGCCAGACACCAAACGGCCACUUCUCAACCACCCCCAUUUGUCACCGGGGGCGGCUGGGGAGCUCCCUUAAACAGGAGGAGAAGAAAGAGAUAGAGCGAGCAAUGGAGGAAAAGAAAUAGACCUGUCUCUCCUCUCCUCCGCUAGCAUUGAUCUCAGUGGAAAGCCUUUUUAUUCUCAGAGUUUUGUUUGUCGGCGUGAGAGGUAGAACGGGGUCCCUUCGCCACCAACCACGACCAUUAUAUUCCAUUAAAAAUGAGUAAUGAGGGCAAGUGUCAGGAAAUUAGAAAAGGCAGAAAGAGAUUUCAUUAUUUCGAAGAGCUUUUAUGGUUUAAAAUGUUUGUGAAGAUGUAAAAUCCAUACUACCGAUCCUUUUUUUUUUCCUAUCAUAUUGUGCAUAUGAGGCAUAUUCAUAACAAUUAUUUUAUACAUGAAGGCAACUAAAAAAUGCCAAGUCUCUGCCACUAUUUUUCUAGUUUUUGGACUGUAGAUGUGUUAAAAAAAAGAGAGAGGGAGAGUAUGAGUAGACAGCUUUAGGAAGAGCUUUUGACAUUUUGCUGCACAAUGUCUAAUGCGGUGUUUUCAAUUCAUGCUGCCAUCUUUGGAUAUUUACUCCUGAAAUGCACAUGUCAGCUUUAGUGGCUGGUGGGCAAAAUCCCUUAUUAUUGAUUGCAUGGUGUUUCUACAUAGCAAGAUGUGCCCAUAGGUCACUAAUGUUGCUGUAUAUUAAAUCAUCUCCACAUGGAUCCAAAAAUCCAAAAA
This is a long non-coding RNA of Megalobrama amblycephala (Wuchang bream), 1962 nucleotides long. RefSeq lists it as uncharacterized. The transcript is spliced from 6 exons. Lineage: Eukaryota; Metazoa; Chordata; Actinopteri; Cypriniformes; Xenocyprididae. The record is from RefSeq and is a predicted model, not a curated record.